RNAcentral lists this ribosomal RNA (395 nucleotides) under uncultured bacterium. RNAcentral's name for it is "partial 16S ribosomal RNA". It matches the Rfam family "Bacterial small subunit ribosomal RNA", at positions 523 to 918 of the family's 1533-position model. The record is from RNAcentral.
AUACGUAGGGUGCAAGCGUUAAUCGGAAUUACUGGGCGUAAAGCGUGCGCAGGCGGUUUUGUAAGACAGUGGUGAAAUCCCCGGGCUCAACCUGGGAACUGCCAUUGUGACUGCAAGGCUGGAGUGCGGCAGAGGGGGAUGGAAUUCCGCGUGUAGCAGUGAAAUGCGUAGAUAUGCGGAGGAACACCGAUGGCGAAGGCGAUUCCAUGGGCCUGCACUGACGCUCAUGCACGAAAGCGUGGGGAGCAAACAGGAUUAGAUUCCCUGGUAGUCCACGCCCUAAACGAUGUCAACUGGUUGUUGGGGAUUUAUUUUCUCAGUAACGAAGCUAACGCGUGAAGUUGACCGCCUGGGGAGUACGGCCGCAAGGUUAAAACUCAAAUGAAUUGGCGGGG